GCCGCAGUAUUUCUGUGCUAAGGUAGCAUAAUAACUUGCUUUUUAAUUUAAAGAUAGAAUGAAAGGACUAACGACUUAAUAAUUUUUCCUAAAUUACAUAAUAAAACUAACUAAAAAGUAAAAAAACUCUUAUGCUUAAGAAAGACAACAAGACCCUAUAGAACUUUAUAAUUUUAUUUUGCUGGGGCAGCAAAAAACAAAAUCUUUACAAUAAAUUUUCUAUAAAGACCUAAAAAACUUAAUUUACAAAACAAGUUACCUUAGGGAUAACAGCGCUAUUUUACUUUAUAGUUCUUAUUCAAAGUAAAUAUUACGACCUCGAUGUUGAAUUAAUUUAACUUUAUAAAGCAAAAAUAAUAAAAGUAAGUCUGUUCGACUUUUAAAAAAUUACAUGAUUUGAGUUCAGACCGGUGCGAACCAGGUCAGAUUAUAUCUUCUUUUAUAAAUUAACAGUACGAAAGGACCUUAAUAUAAAUA
Molecule: ribosomal RNA, 477 nt
Filed under: Loxosceles blanda
Lineage: Eukaryota; Metazoa; Arthropoda; Arachnida; Araneae; Sicariidae
Description: partial 16S ribosomal RNA
Rfam family: Bacterial large subunit ribosomal RNA
Source: RNAcentral